AAAUUGCCCAUUUCCUUUUUGUUUCCCAGAACAGCACAGAAGUUUGAGAGAAGCAGUGGCUGUAAGAAAAUGACUUUCCUAUGAACAAUGGGAAAGAAAUAGCUGAGAUCAUGAUGGGUGGAUCCUCCUUUACCCUACUGUCCAGAUCAGCUUCCUAAAAUAACUUUCCCAGGGAAUGAUAACUUCUUUCAGUGAAACACAGAUUUCAGGGGAGAUCCUGAUCAUAAGGGAGAAGACCGUGUGUCAGCAGCAA
Molecule: long non-coding RNA, 253 nt
Filed under: Junco hyemalis (dark-eyed junco)
Lineage: Eukaryota; Metazoa; Chordata; Aves; Passeriformes; Passerellidae
Description: lncRNA (ENSJHYG00000012560.1)
Source: RNAcentral